GGAGCAGCUGUUGCAGUAUGGGUAUAAUAAACCUAUUUGCGUAAAUAACUUGACUAUUCAAUGGGAUUACGAAUUCAAAGCAGCAAUGCUUGGUUCCUCCAUCCCGGGGUAUUUUUAUCAACAUAUGCUUGCAUAUGGAAAAUAUACCAUGAGCAUACUGGAUAUGACCCGAAAGAUGGUGAACUAUGCCUGAUCAGGUUGAAGUCAGGGGAAACCCUGAUGGAGGACCGAAGCAAUUCUGACGUGCAAAUCGAUUGUCAGAAUUGGGCAUAGGGGCGAAAGACCAAUCGAACCAUCUAGUAGCUGGUUCCUUCCGAAGUUUCCCUCAGGAUAGCUGGAGCAUAUAUGAUUUUUUCACGAAUUCAUACCUGGUAAAGCGAAUGAUUAGAGGCCUUAGGAACGAAAUGUUUUUAACCUAUUCUCAAACUUUAAAUGGGUAUGUAAGUUAACAUACUUGAUUGAUGUUGACCUGAAACUCUGUUUAGGCAGAGCUGUAAGAUUGUAUGCGCCCAGUGGGCCAAGUUUUGGUAAGCAGAACUGGUGCUGUGGGAUGAACCAAACGCAAUGUUAAGGCGCCCAAAUAAACGACGCAUCAUCGAUACCAUGAAAGGUGUUGAUUGCUGAAGACAGCAGGACGGUGGACAUGGAAGUUGUCAUCCGUAGG
Molecule: ribosomal RNA, 664 nt
Filed under: Camptocladius sp. QW-2011
Lineage: Eukaryota; Metazoa; Arthropoda; Insecta; Diptera; Chironomidae
Also listed under: 1 other name
Description: eukaryotic LSU rRNA
Rfam family: Eukaryotic large subunit ribosomal RNA
Source: RNAcentral